UAGGGAAUCUUCGGCAAUGGGGGCGACCCUGACCGAGCAACGCCGCGUGAGUGAAGAAGGUUUUCGGAUCGUAAAGCUCUGUUGUAAGUCAAGAACGAGUGUGAGAGUGGAAAGUUCACACUGUGACGGUAGCUUACCAGAAAGGGACGGCUAACUACGUGCCAGCAGCCGCGGUAAUACGUAGGUCCCGAGCGUUGUCCGGAUUUAUUGGGCGUAAAGCGAGCGCAGGCGGUUUGACAAGUCUGAAGUUAAAGGCUGUGGCUCAACCAUAGUUCGCUUUGGAAACUGUCAAACUUGAGUGCAGAAGGGGAGAGUGGAAUUCCAUGUGUAGCGGUGAAAUGCGUAGAUAUAUGGAGGAACACCGGUGGCGAAAGCGGCUCUCUGGUCUGUAACUGACGCUGAGGCUCGAAAGCGUGGGGAGCGAACAGGAUUAGAUACCCUGGUAGUCCACGCCGUAAACGAUGAGUGCUAGGUGUUGGAUCCUUUCCGGGAUUCAGUGCCGCAGCUAACGCAUUAAGCACUCCGCCUGGGGAAUACGACCGCAAGGUUG
RNAcentral lists this ribosomal RNA (550 nucleotides) under uncultured bacterium. RNAcentral's name for it is "bacterial SSU rRNA". It matches the Rfam family "Bacterial small subunit ribosomal RNA", at positions 355 to 896 of the family's 1533-position model. The record is from RNAcentral.